CCUACGGGGUGCAGCAGUGGGGAAUAUUGGACAAUGGGCGAAAGCCUGAUCCAGCCAUGCCGCGUGUGUGAAGAAGGCCUUCGGGUUGUAAAGCACUUUCAGUGGGGAAGAAAGCCUUGGGGCUAAUACCCUCGAGGAAGGACAUCACCCACAGAAGAAGCACCGGCUAACUCCGUGCCAGCAGCCGCGGUAAUACGGAGGGUGCGAGCGUUAAUCGGAAUUACUGGGCGUAAAGCGCGCGUAGGCGGUCUGAUAAGCCGGUUGUGAAAGCCCCGGGCUCAACCUGGGAACGACAUCCGGAACUGUCAGGCUAGAGUGCAGGAGAGGAAGGUAGAAUUCCCGGUGUAGCGGUGAAAUGCGUAGAGAUCGGGAGGAAUACCAGUGGCGAAGGCGGCCUUCUGGACUGACACUGACGCUGAGGUGCGAAAGCGUGGGUAGCAAACAGGAUUAGAUACCCCUGUAGUC
This 465-nucleotide ribosomal RNA is filed under the name Vreelandella stevensii. RNAcentral's name for it is "partial 16S ribosomal RNA". It matches the Rfam family "Bacterial small subunit ribosomal RNA", at positions 338 to 795 of the family's 1533-position model. Lineage: Bacteria; Pseudomonadati; Pseudomonadota; Gammaproteobacteria; Oceanospirillales; Halomonadaceae. The record is from RNAcentral.